Long non-coding RNA from Oncorhynchus tshawytscha (Chinook salmon), 482 nucleotides. Lineage: Eukaryota; Metazoa; Chordata; Actinopteri; Salmoniformes; Salmonidae. The record is from Ensembl.
CCACGAGGAGACUGCGUGGCAGGCUGACUACCUGUUACGAGAGUGCAGCAAGAAGUCAAGUUCAGCAGUAAGUUAAAGUAUGUGAACAGCCCGGCGGAGCUACAAGAUAUAAUUCCAUUGGAGUAUGUGAACAUCCCUGAGAGCAUUAUCAAAGUUGAUAAAAGAAUAAACCCUGUGGUGUUUGAUCAUUCCUUGAUGACAGGCUACCCGUUUGGCCAUAUGACGCUGUGGUCAAGAGUAGACACUCGUCCUGCCUGCACACACCUGUGGUGAAGAGGAAAGGCUAUUCUACCAUACCUUAUUACUCUGCCAUGCAAGACAGAGGCACAGCAGGAAUCCAGGCAGUGUUAAACACAUAUUUUGGGACAUAUUGGAGAUUAUGAGAGUUUUUGUAAGCAAACAUGUUUUUCGAAAUGUAAUCCAUUGUUUAAAACCUGUCACACUCAAUUACUAUGUUAUUUUCCAGGAUCAUAAGGUUGUCU